RNAcentral lists this ribosomal RNA (253 nucleotides) under uncultured bacterium. RNAcentral describes it as "partial 16S ribosomal RNA". It matches the Rfam family "Bacterial small subunit ribosomal RNA", at positions 524 to 776 of the family's 1533-position model. The record is from RNAcentral.
UACGGGGGGAGCAAGCGUUGUUCGGAUUUACUGGGCUUAAAGGGUGCGUAGGCUGUGCGGAAAGUUGGGUGUGAAAUACCUCAGCUUAACUGAGGAACUGCGCUCAAAACUACCGUGCUCGAGGGAGACAGAGGUGAGCGGAACUUAGGGUGGAGCGGUGAAAUGCGUUGAUAUCCUAAGGAACACCGGUGGCGAAAGCGGCUCACUGGAUCUCUUCUGACGCUGAGGCACGAAAGCUAGGGUAGCGAACGGG